UUAAAACAUCUCCUGCCUCGAGAAUGCCAGAUGUUCUUGAGGGCAAUGGAAGGCAGCUCAAGGGGAUGGCAUCUUCCCCACCUCGAUAUGUCUCUGUGGUAGUCAUGGCUGCCUUUUGAGAUACUUUGCUGAGGGAGGUGUCUACAAAUUAUUUUAGCUUUUAGUUGGCAAUGGUCAGGUUCCGUGUCAGGUAGGAUGUUCAGCUACGAAUCUUCUGUGGACACAGCUUUUGAAGAGAAAACACCCUUGAUAGCUCAAACGCUUGGCUUUCCCAUUGGGAAAAACAGAUCUACUUGUCCCAAGCUGAUUAUCUAGAAUAUCCUUCCAGGAGUAGAAAAAUAAUUUCUGUUCUGCAGAUGUGAAUUUGCUUUCCAGAAACCAUUUCCUUUCCCAUGAAAAAAAAAAAUGCUCAGACAGUUCUUCCUUUCAAAUUUUAAUAUGCAAAUAUCUUUUUUACCAAAGAAGUGACUGUGUUUUGGUUUGUUUUCUUCACGAGGCAGUCUUAACAUUGCUUAACUUGCAAUCACCUCAUGCCCAUCAUUUGUUUCGACAAGUAUGUCUUUAUAAGUGUCUGCAAUAUAAUUACUGAGUUUCCCAGCAUGGCAGAUAAUGUGAGGUGACAGAGAAGGCGUCACACUGGCAGCCUCAUCAGUGACUGCGAGGAAACAUUUGAUUAUAUUUCUCUCUAGUGCCUAUUGCAAACUACAGCCUCUGCUCCACGGCACCCUUCACAUUCACCCUCUCAGCUGUCUUUCUAAUCUUCCUGUGCUAAACAUCUACCAGCCCUGCUGAUUUGUCAAACAAGAACAGGCUCUUCAGAUCUGAAGAAUCCUACUCUUCAAGAUAAAAAAAAAAACCAAAAGAAACAGAGAACUAUAUUUUUUUUUAACUUCAAACAAGCACUCUGUCUUUGCAUUGGGAAGCUUCCGAGACAAUUAGUGUUUUUCCUGUGGAAAAUAACAAGUCCUGAUUGUUUGUGAGAGUUUUGGUUGUUUGUGAGAUAGUUUUAUCUGAGCAAAGAAAGCACAGUAUGGUCCAAUAAAUACAAAACCCCCACAGUGUAAUUAAUAAUAAAAAACAAUAUGGCUGAGAAGAUAAAUGUGCUGAGAACCAGUGUGCAAAGGCCAGGGCAUCCAGCUAUGAAUGGAUCCCAGGGGCCAGCAGGAGUCUGUAGGGAUUUCUGUCUUCCAUGGGAGAAUACUGAGGGUGGAAAAAGCAUGAAUACAGGGGAAAACGUUGGUACUAUGCUGAAGGAUUUAGGCAUUUGAAAAUGAAAACAGGAAUGUUUUUUUGUUUAGUACAAUGAUGAAGAAUAGUUGAAUGUGGCUGCCUAAACUCAGUUUUCAAAUCUCUUGUAGAAAAAUGGUCCAGCUUGUUCCAGUCCAGCAGAGACACAUCUCCCUGUCCUCUCCUCAAUCUCCCAGGGAGCUCCUUUCUCUCCCUGCCUUCCCAUUCAGCAGGUCCAUCACAGCCCUGAGAAAACAUGGAAAAAGUGAUUCUUCUGCAAAACCCCACAUCCAACAAACUGGCAUUUUCUGGGGGAAAAAUGAAACCAAUGUUAAGCCCAAACCUCCUGUGGCUGAGAACUUGCUGAGAUAGUUGUACAAACCAUCGAAAUCCCACACCUUGCUAAACUAAUAUUGACAGUGAUGUCAACUCAUAAAUGGACACAUAAAUCAUAUAUGUGGUUUCUGUUUAUAUAGGUCAUUCAAUUGAAACUCCUUCAUAACAUUUGAGAUCACUUGUUAAUUCAAAAGAAUAGUUUAACAUUCCCCCUUCUUUAUCAAAACCCAGAGGUAUAGCUAAAAAUCAACUCCUGCUACUCAUGAUCAAGCCUCUUUUUUUGCAGUUGCUUGAGCUCUUGAAAAUUUUGUGUUUUCCAAAGUUUCCUGAACAGUUGUACCAAAAAGGCCAUCUGGGAAUAAAUCAUAACAUGCAGGAAAUUCAGAGAAGGGGGAUGGAUUCUUUGAUGCAGUAUACAGCACUGGCAGUGAAUUUUGUUUUUCAAAUCUUAUCUGCUCUGGUGUGGGAUGCAUUUGAAGAUGAUGCCUUUGUUUGCAGAAGAUGUAUCUGCAGUACAGCUCAUUCCAAAGGCAUAGGUGCUCUGUUUAUUCCUGCAUCACCUGCCAGCACAUUUAUGACGCAUAAGCCUGUGCCAUGCUGCAAAACAAUCACACAGGGUUGGAUGCUGUAAGACAGCAGAGGUGCUCCUUACCAAUAGAAUGAUUGAAUUUUGGGGGGGUUUGUGCUCCAUGAAAGCCAAGUUUUUCCUGCAGGUGAUGUUUCUGCUCUGUAUGGCACUUACUGUCUCCACCAAGGCUCUUGCCAACGUGCUGCUGACUUGGGGCUUCUUGCAGAGCCUCUGUAUCAAGGGGUGCAGCUGUGCAGGGUGUGCCUCUGUGGUGGAAAUAAAGAUGUGCAUCCACAGGUGAGCCAGCAGAGAGGAGCAGUGGAUUCAGAAAUGCACUUUAUGACAACUCAGUAUGUUUUUUUUUUCCCAUUGGGAUAUCCAGUUUUCCAAGUAGGAUGUCACCUGGUGAUCUUACCCCAAGCAAAGCUGGACCUUGCUGCUUUUCAUCUUACCUCAUUAAAACACAGAGCUUUGAGGUCAUCACCGUGCUGUCCACUUUUUCAGAUAUUUCCUUCUGGUUUUAUUUGGGUUUUCCUUCCCAGAAGAGUCUUGCCCCCACUUCCUGUAGCUGCCCAGUCCUGUUCUCUCAGUUCCACUCUCAGGAUGGGACCCUGUGUCCUGUCUUCUCUCACAUUUGCUUCUCCAGAAUGGAGCAUGUGAGUUUUUAAGCUUGCCAUUUUUUGGAUUCUCUCAUUAGUCAACAGUUGAAGGGCUCAAUCAAAGGAGUUUUUGUGCAUUUUGCAAGGAAACUUUUGGAAAGAGGAAAGGAAAUUAUGUCUUUCACCAAAAUUCUUCCCCACAAAGACUGUGUGAUCAAAAACCCACCUCAUUAUGUUUAUUUUUUCAUAAAUCUCCACCCUCUGGAGUCUUGCAGGUUCCUCAGUUUUUAUUUCCAAAGAUAUUUUUAGCAUUGUAGAUUGUAGGCAAGUGUGAAGCCUCAUAAAUCAAAGAAAGAACUUUAAAAAUAUAUCUUUUUUGUCUUGUCAAGUUUACCAUUGAACUUGUCAGAUGAUUUCUCGGGGGCUGUCAGGCUUUCUGCUUGGGCUGGGGGGUGGUGGUAACAAACCUGAAAGGUCUUGCAUGAAUCCUCUUUUUCUCCCUGCUUUUAUAUUUAGGAAAGAGAGCAAUACCAUGCCACACAUCUCCCUCCCUACUGUAAACAGAAAUUCAUUAUGAGAGAGCUGAGCCUUUGAUGCUAUGAACGAGCUUCACUUCGUGCCUGCUCCCUUACAGGCAGAAACAAGAGCGUGCACAGCACCUCCACCCCGCUCCCGUGAGCCCCCUGUGGACCUGUGUCACUGACCUGGACACACACCUGGAAAAUAAUCCCUCUGACACUUCUCCACGUGCUUAGGUUCUCAAACAGCCUCCACAACCUCCCUCCUCACCAGCAGCAGGCAGCUCUGCAGACAAAGAUAGCUGCUCUGAAGUGGGGCUGAUGAAUUACCAGCAUCUCCAAUCCUCAUCUUUCCAAGUGGGAGCUGGCUGCCAGCCAGUGCUCUGCGUGUGCAUGGACGCUGCUCCUGCCAACUUUUCCCUUUGGGAAGAUGUCUCCAGAGAAGUGUUUGUCUGCACAGGAAAAUGGCCAUUUAGAGUGUGCUGUGUACCAGCAGAGACUCUGCAUCCUGGGUGAGGUCAUGGGCCAGGGAACUUUAUGAGUGUCUUGUAUAAUUUCCUUUUCAUUCCUCUUUGUCCUUUUUAUCUUGUAGUUUUAUUUCCAAGUCACGAAGUACAGCUACAAAAAGGAAUUAAAUUAAUGAAUGACCUGAUUGCUUUAGCCCUUAAGCUAAUUUUAAAUAAUUGAAAAAGUAGCUGGCAAAUAACAUUCCCUGGAGAGUUUAAUUCAUUAUGCAGGUGUUUAAUUACAAGGAAGUUUUGAGAUAGGAGAGAGACCAACUUGGAGUAUUUGAGGAGAUGAGGGACCUUUUUUUUUUAUUUUCAAGAGCAUCCUGCACAAUAGCAAGUAUUGUACAUGAAUUUUUCUUUAUUUAUGCCUCACACAUUUUGCUAAGCCAGAUUCAACUCCAGAGACUUGUCAAUAUAGUCAUACUACAAGGGCAUAAAAUAUUCUGAUGCCAGGAAGGCACCCUCUUCAUCCUGCUGUUACUUUUUGUUGCUUUGCAAUUGACUUGUUAUGUCACAGUUUUAUGAGAAUGUGAGGGUUAUUUCAGUCCACAGCUACCACUAAGCUGGAAGUGCUGGUAGUAUUCACAGAUUCACUCAGAGACCUCUCUGAUGGAGUCAUCUGAAGAAUAGGGCAAUAAAUAUUCCACAGGAGCUGAUCAGGGGCUCAGCCUCUGUGACAGGCAAUUCUGACUAAGUUUAAAGAACUUUUUAGUCUUAGGCAGUGGGGUUUUAGUUUUUCUUUUUUUUUUUUUCUUUUUUUUUUUCUUUUAAGUAAUCCUCACUUAUCUCCACUAAAUACUUCAUUUUUUUUUUUUUUUUUCCAUCUGCAAAGGUAGAUUUUCCAGGAAGAAUUAUAUUUCAGGAGAGAAAACAGAAGGAGCAUGUUCACAGUCAGAGGGCAGAAACAGGGCACAGUAUUUUGCACCUCCCAAUGUCUGCCCCACUGAAAGAGGCAUGAGAAAAAAAAAAGAAGAGACCUUUUUGCAGGUCUGGGAAUGGAACAUGGUCCCUUCCUUCUGGCCAUCCCAAUGUCUAUUUCCAUUGUCAAGGAAGGCCAAAAGGUUUUGGAUGCUUUGUGAUGUGCUGAAGAUCUUCACACACAAGGUGGAGAAUGUUCUGCUUUGAAGUCUGCUGUGGCAUGGAGAGCAGCAUGUUCACCUGGAGCAGUUCAUUGGGUGCUGUUUAUAGAAGAGACCUUUCUUUCAUCUCGUGCUGUGGCAGCACCCUUUAAAAAGCAAGACCAGUGAAAGGAGGCCCCUCUCACUUGAAGUUCAAUGUAUGCAGCAGUAAAUGGAUGGGGAUGUUUUCGAGGCUUAAGGUUAAUAUUUUAUCAAGUCUGCAACAUACACAGAGUUUUUAAUAUUCUUAUCAAAGAUUAACAUCAUGUACCAGAGACUCAGGGCUAUAUUCUAAUCUUGAAUAUACAGCUUGCUAUCUCUCAGCAUCUCUUUUGGUGAGGACUUCUGAAUUACUGCUUUGUUUGAAUGCACAGCAAAGGAAAUUGAUCACUUCUGAUUUCAAUCUACACAUCUCUUUCAAACAGGCUGCAGAGUAUCUCUCUGAAGAUUUGAAUCUAGUGAGCUAAGCAACCAAAGAUGCUUCCCAGACAAUGGUAAUUCUUCAUUGAAUUGGCUGAUUUCCUAGCAGUAGGAAAGAGAUCAAGUUUUUAAUAUAUUUAUUUUGGGAAAAUCUACAAGAACCAGCUAAAAAGAAAUGGACUAGGAUCUACCUGCAUCUGUACAGUUUGCAUCUAAAACAUUCAAAUAUACCUAUCAAGACAUUUUUGUCAUGUUGGCAAUAAAAUUGUUACUCUUGGUAAUAAAACCAGUCUGUAAUUUUAUCUGCUUGGGGUGAAAAAAAGUCAGCUUUUUCAUGUCCCCCAGCCAGUUUGGUGUUAAAUACACUCAUUAUGGGCUGUGAUGAACAAGAAGUUAUCAAUGGCAUAUCCACAUAUUACAUUAUUGCCAUUUCUUGCAUUAUUUCCAAGUGGCGUGGAAGGGUCAGGGGUCCUCCUGCCAGUCCAAAUGUGUUUGCAGGAGGACUCAGCUUCCUCCAAGAGAAUGGGCAAGAGUAGGGGCAAAAGAAGAGGUCUUGCAGCAUCCUCUGGGAAAGAUGGGCUUGGCAGCCUCUGCAUGACCCCAUUCUUCAUCCUGCUAUCAUCAUGAAGUUCAGGAGAAAGGGUGCAAUUUUAACCAAACAUUACCUGGAAUUCCCAUUCCCAAUGGUGGCCAGUGGAUGUGUCUGUCUAUCCCAGAAUUAUGAGGUGUAUCACCAUGAGGGAUCUUUACUCACUACUACUGCCUCUACCAAGAGGGGUAGAAAUGUAGUGGUGGGAGCAAGAAAGGGAAUUUUUCUUCCCAGUUCUGUUCAGAGAGCCUUGUCUGGCUUGCAUUUGGACCUUCUGUGACUCAUUCAUCUGAUGGGGAAUCUGUAGAAGGAAUUGUGGAGAAUUCAUUUUCCACAGAUCCAAAGCAAGUAGCUUCUCCCAGUAUUUCCCUUUGCUCUGACAAGGACGUGCUGCAAAAGCUGGCAGUGGUCCUUGGGCUGAUAAUGGCAGAGAGCACACUCCAAAUCCUCACAGGUGUGAUAAUCCAGAGGAAGUGGGAUUUGCUCCAGAGACAUGUGGGACCUUGAACUAAUUUAAAUAGAACUGUCCCAGCCUGAAAUUUCUGAAUUUAAUUCAAGAUGCCACACUCAGUCAUUGUUCCAAAAGCGUCCUCAUUCCUUGACCUUGUUGCACAGAUGGCAUUGUUCUGAACAGGUUUCUACAGGCUGUAACUAAUUAAGCAAUUAAUUAGGAGCCCUGGUUUACACAGAAGUUGUUGUAAAGCAAUAACUUCUGUGACCUCACGGGUCUUGUCAAAGUGCUGGUCCCAAGACUGUCCAAAUUAUCUGUGCUAAAGAUUCAGUGUGUUCACCCAGUCUUAGUUUGACUGACCUGAGAACCACCUGAGCUUUUCCUGAUGUGUCCUCAGGAUGUCACAUGUAUUUGAAAGAUUCACUUUGUUAAAUGUGGUGCAGACCACUUUGUCCUGUAACAUUCAGUGGCUCUCUCUCGUGUGCUCUCUAGUUGAGAGCACAAAUUUCUUGUUUCCCUCAGCACAUUCAGUAUCCCCCACUGUCAAAAUCCAUAUUUAAAUCCCAAGGGCAUUGUCUAUUAUUUUUACCAUAUCUGACUUUGUUCUGUCAAAAUCUGAGCAAUUUUUCCUCAAUCAACCUUGUUCCAAAGCUUCAGAUAUUGUGAUUCUAAUUGUGUCAAGUAAGAUCAUUCUUCCUAGCAAUUUGCAACCCAAGGAUGAAUGGUAAAAUAUAGAAAUACCACAAUUUGUGAACUCUCGCAAGGUGACAUUCUAUUUCUCUUUUCCACCACAUGCAUAGCAGAAUCAUGGAGUCUGUUUUAGGAGAAAAGAGAGGAGAAAAAUCAAAAGUGGGAAAAGGAGAGACCUGCAGGGAGGGGGCUUGAACCUUGUCGGUGUAACCCUCCCAAAUCAUAGGGAGCCCUUUAAUCAGCUCAAGGCACCUUUGGUGAAUACUAUAAAACUGUGUCACUGUGAGUUACGAUGUCCCACAGAAAAUCCUGACUUCUCCCGGGAAAAAGAAACAAGCCAGAGACAGCAGCGCUCUGAAAGGGAUAAACAGCUGUGCCCAGGGAAUCUCACCAGACCAUUUCAACCAACCCAGAUGGAAAGGAUGCUCAGUUAAGCAGCCAGAACAAGGACUGCUGCUAAAAGCUGCAGUUAAGUAUUUUAGUUGGUGUUUGGAUGUAGAUGUGGUGGAGCUAUUGCUGAUUUGUUUUUAAUGAUGGAAGUUCUAUAAGUGGCUCAAAGACCGCGUUGUUCUUCUUUGCAUACGCAGGAGAAAGCAUCUCACUUUUCUCUUGUGAAUUGAUUUAAGACAGAGGGGACAUGUAUUUAGUAGAAAGCAAAUUAAAGGUUUUGUUAAUGAUAAAUAGCUAAGGUUAAUUUAAUUUACUACUAAUUUCAAAGAGAGAAAAGAGAACCAUGACGUCAUGUCUUCUUAGCUCCAUUUGAAUGUUUCAUUACCUCUCUUUCUGACUGAAAUGACUCAUGAAAUCAUAUACACUGUACAUGGCAAGGACUUUUAAGUUCAUCUUGUCCAUCUGUCUGUCACAACCGUGUUCUUAUUCAGAAUGGUAAACAGGGAAACUACAUUAGAGACAGACACAGCGUCCUCUUAAAGAGCAGGGAACACUAAAAUAUUCUUUACUCAUAUUUGUACAUCACCCGGGUGUGAAAGCAGAGCCCAUGAAGUCGAUGUGAAUGAAUGCAAUGCCAUGUAGCACUAAGUAAGGCUUACAUCACUUCUCACAGCUGCUUUGUCAUGUGUUGUUUUGCUGAUUUCCUUUUACAUUUAGUGGGCUACUUUUCAAAGCUAAUGGCUUUCAUGAGUCACUGUGAACAAUAAAGCCCUAGAGCAUCCCUGAUGGGUGACAUCUGUGACUGGGGAUCAGAUUGGAGGGUAAAAAGACAUCUGCUGGAAAUAAAGGUGAUCUGCUGGGAAUUCAGAGCAUGAAAGGCAGGCCUUAGAACAAAUGCUGGUGGAAGAGAAAGGGUCUGUUAUCCCGUGCUUUUACACAACCUGGCAUCCUCCAAUCCUGAAAGAGCUCAGUAAAAAGCUGAGGGACACGCACCAGUGAUUUCUCAGGAUCUUCAGUCACACACAAGCCAGCCUUCCUCUCUGCCUCUCCUUGCACUUUCAUUACUGCUGUUGUGAUGUCUCUGCUGUGGCUGCUGACUGAAAACCCUGUGUGCUCUGGCUGUCCUAGAGCAGCUCUGUCAGAGCUGGCAGUGUAGCUCUUCAUGAGCAAACACCAUCACCUACACUGCUGGACAGCUACUUUUUCAACUUAUUUUAUGGUGCCUGUGUUCUCUAACAUGGUGAGAACCCACAGGAAAUCAUUAUCCUCAGGGCACCACGUGAAAACCCAAUCCAUCUCCCAUGGCAUGUGCCUGCUCAGCUCCCAGGAACACUGUCACUGGGUCCUCAGCAGCUUGUGGGCAUGGGCUAAUCCUUUCCUCUGGAGCACAAGGGACUGGGAUUCUGCUGCUCCCUCUCCACUUGGAUGCCUGACUUCCCUGAUUAGCUGUCUGUGACAGGGAUCUCUGGGAGAGCACCCUGCCUCUGAGCCCCAGCAAGGAAGGAUCAUUAGCCUGCAGCCUGUCUGCCUGUGGAAAUAUCUCUACACGUACCCGAAAAGGAUAACCAUAUUAACACCCAGUUGGAUUCUGUUAAUAUGGCUGUCAGGAGGCAAAUGUCUCUUGACAUGAAAUUAUGUCCAACUGAUCAUUUCAGCUGCCAGGGCUGCUCAUUAGUUCACAAAACAGUUGGGUUUUUUUUCCCCUAGUGAAACAUCUUCAAAUAGCAUCUUUCACAGCCAUUGCAUCUGCUUCCUUGAGUGUCAGGAUGUAUGUGGAAGGGGCAUUUUUGUACAAUGAGGGGCAGGGAUCUCAUUUCUGGCGCAAAAUCCCAGCUAGGAAUAAAGGUCUUGAGGUCUUAAAUCCGUUUUGUCAUGGCCUCAUAAAAUUUCUUGAGUAAGUCUCCUUAUAUUUGGGAUAUAUUGGUCUUGUUUUGGGAAUCCCCAGUACCCUUGGUCCCUUCCACUAGCUGUGCCCCUCUUGAUUCUUCUCUUAUCUCUGCAUGUCAGAGACAUGCCACCAAAAGCAAUAAUGGGCCCCCCUGGUUUUGACUGGGGGGUUGAUGGGUUGAUGGGGCUGGAUCACCAGGAGGGAAUAUUACAUGGCUUUAUAUUUGUGAUUUAUGCAGCCUGCACUGUAUGGGUUUACAGCCUAUCUGUGCACUUGCUGCUCUGCUGGGAGCUGUAAAGAAGAAAAUCAUAUAAUAAAAACCCUUCUGGUCCUGAUGUAAAAUUCAGCACAAUACAUCUCUGCCUGUGCCAACUCUUCCUUCUUUCUUUUGCCUGCAUUUCUAUUGUGUGGCACAGUUACCAGGAUCAUUAAAUUCAAUGUCUGAAGGCCAGCUAAGGCUCCUCAAUGCUGCAGAGCA
This is a non-coding RNA of Taeniopygia guttata (zebra finch), 9781 nucleotides long. The record is from RefSeq and is a predicted model, not a curated record. Lineage: Eukaryota; Metazoa; Chordata; Aves; Passeriformes; Estrildidae.